Molecule: ribosomal RNA, 367 nt
Filed under: uncultured bacterium
Lineage: Bacteria
Description: bacterial SSU rRNA
Rfam family: Bacterial small subunit ribosomal RNA
Source: RNAcentral
AAUCAACGCUGGCGGCGUGCCUCAGACAUGCAAGUCGAACGCGAAAGUUUCCUUCGGGAAACAAGUAGAGUGGCGCACGGGUGAGUAACACGUAGGUAAUCUACCUUCGGAUGGGGAAUAACAAUCGGAAACGGUUGCUAAUACCGCAUAAUGCAGCGGCACCUAAUGGUGACAGUUGUUAAAGCGGGGGAUCGAAGACCUCGCGUCUGAAGAGGAGCCUGCGGCGGAUAGCUAGUUGGUAAGGUAAUGGCUUACCAAGGCUACGAUCCGUAACCGGCCUGAGAGGGCGGUCGGUCACACUGACACUGACAUACGGGUCAGACUCCUACGGGAGGCAGCAGUCGGGAAUUUUGGGCAAUGGGCGAAA